CAGACAUUCAGACCCGACUCUGAGAGGGAGCACAGCACAGGUCACCUGAAGGAGGAGCGGCCAGCAUGCUGCUCCCCGGCCUGCUGAGAGUGGUCCUAGCCUCCAUCUGCCUUGGGUCCAGCAUGACCCAGACGGUAACUCAAACUCAGCCUACAGUUUCUAUUCUGGAGAAGGACGAUGUAACCUUGGACUGUACAUAUGAAACCAGUAGUUACAGUUAUUAUUUGUUUUGGUACAAACAGCCACCCAGUGGGGAAAUGAUGAUCCUUAUUCGCCAGGAGUCUUUUAGUGAGCAAAAUGCAACCAAGGAUCGCUAUUCUCUGAACUUCCAAAAAACAGCUCGUUCCAUCAGCCUCACCAUCACAGCCUCCCAGCUUGGCGACUCUGCGGUGUAUUUCUGUGCUCUGAGUGAUGCCACAGUGAUGUGGGUGCCUGUGGGGGCCCCCCAGAAACCACACUUCUCAGUCUGAGGCACUUCCAAGCUGUCAGCACCUGGGCAGGAAUCUCAGAUUAGACAGCAAGAAGCAGGGGUUGUGUCAGCAGAGAUGUGGGGGAUGGCUUUAGAAGAGCAAGCAUCACUCUAAGGGAAAUGCCCUACCUGGACCAGACAAAACAGCAGAAACUGCCAUUUAUCAAAAUCUUCUGGUGCCAAGGAGAUAGCACAGAGGUAACACAAUAGAAUCCUAUGCCUGAGAUCCCAGAAUACUCAGUUCCAAGCCCCAGCAGCACCACAUGCUGGAGCAGGUCAGUACUCUGGUCUCUCUGUGUGUCACAUUUUCACAAAAAUAAACAAACCAACAGACAAAUACUUUUAUAAAUCAUCUUUAUCUUUAUUUAUCUUGAAGUUGAUCAUUUGGCAAAAGAUCUUUUAUGGCAUAUUGCACCAAAUAAAAGACUCUGGUGUGGGUGGGGAGAAUACAGGUCCAAUAAGGAUGACAGAGGACCUAGUGGGGGUUGUAUUGUUAUAUGGAAAACUGGGAAAUGUUA
Molecule: non-coding RNA, 987 nt
Organism: Erinaceus europaeus (western European hedgehog)
Lineage: Eukaryota; Metazoa; Chordata; Mammalia; Eulipotyphla; Erinaceidae
Source: the annotation of a RefSeq genome assembly